RNAcentral lists this ribosomal RNA (440 nucleotides) under uncultured bacterium. RNAcentral describes it as "partial 16S ribosomal RNA". It matches the Rfam family "Bacterial small subunit ribosomal RNA", at positions 338 to 795 of the family's 1533-position model. The record is from RNAcentral.
CCUACGGGAGGCAGCAGUGGGGAAUAUUGCACAAUGGGGGGAACCCUGAUGCAGCGACGCCGCGUGGGUGAGGAAGUACUUCGGUAUGUAAAGCCCUAUCAGCAGGGAAGAAAAUGACGGUACCUGACUACGAAGCCCCGGCUAAAUACGUGCCAGCAGCCGCGGUAAUACGUAGGGGGCAAGCGUUAUCUGGAUUUACGGGGUGUAAAGGGAGCGUAGACGGCGUGCCAAGUCUGAUGGGAAAGGCCGGGGCUCAACCCCGGGACUGCAUUUGAAACUGGCAGGCUGGAGUGCCGGAGGGGCAAGCGGAAUGCGUGGUGUAGCGGUGAAAUGCAUAGAUAUUGGGAGGAACACCGAUGGCGAAGGCAGCUUGCUGGACGGUAACUGACGUUGAGGCACGAAAGCGUGGGGAGCAAACAGGAUUAGAUACCCUGGUAGUC